AUGGUCUGUGAGGUCAAUUUAUAAGCAUAGAGGCUUUUACCUACACAGGAUGGAGAUGAAGGGAACAUGGAUAUUUUGCUCGAGUCUAUGGCGUCAGUCAGCUGAUAAAGGCAUUUCUACGGAAGACGAAUGUCAUUGUCAAAUUCUAAAUCCUGGGACUGGGAUGGAGACCACCUUCUGGAGAUUAAAGAUCUAUUUAUUUAUUUGAGAGAGAGGGAG
This is a long non-coding RNA of Enhydra lutris kenyoni (northern sea otter), 219 nucleotides long. RefSeq lists it as uncharacterized. NCBI's taxonomy places the organism in Eukaryota, Metazoa, Chordata, Mammalia, Carnivora, Mustelidae. The record is from RefSeq and is a predicted model, not a curated record. The transcript is spliced from 3 exons.